AGUGGCGAACGGGUGAGUAAUGCGUGACCGACCUGCCCCAUACACCGGAAUAGCUCCUGGAAACGGGUGGUAAUGCCGGAUGCUCCGACUCCUUGCAUGGGGUGUCGGGAAAGAUUUCAUCGGUAUGGGAUGGGGUCGCGUCCUAUCAGGUAGUCGGCGGGGUAACGGCCCACCGAGCCUACGACGGGUAGCCGGCCUGAGAGGGCGACCGGCCACAUUGGGACUGAGAUACGGCCCAGACUCCUACGGGAGGCAGCAGUGGGGAAUAUUGCACAAUGGGCGCAAGCCUGAUGCAGCGACGCCGCGUGCGGGAUGACGGCCUUCGGGUUGUAAACCGCUUUUGAUCGGGAGCAAGCCUUCGGGUGAGUGUACCUUUCGAAUAAGCACCGGCUAACUACGUGCCAGCAGCCGCGGUAAUACGUAGGGUGCAAGCGUUAUCCGGAAUUAUUGGGCGUAAAGGGCUCGUAGGCGGUUCGUCGCGUCCGGUGUGAAAGUCCAUCGCUUAACGGUGGAUCUGCGCCGGGUACGGGCGGGCUGGAGUGCGGUAGGGGAGACUGGAAUUCCCGGUGUAACGGUGGAAUGGUGUAGAUAUCGGGAAGAACACCAAUGGCGAAGGCAGGUCUCUGGGCCGUUACUGACGCUGAGGAGCGAAAGCGUGGGGAGCGAACAGGAUUAGAUACCCUGGUAGUCCACGCCGUAAACGGUGGAUGCUGGAUGUGGGGCCCGUUCCACGGGUUCCAUGUCGGAGCUAACGCGUUAAAGCAUCCCGCCUGGGGAGUACGGCCGCAAGGCUAAAACUCAAAGAAAUUGACGGGGGCCCGCACAAGCGGCGGAGCAUGCGGAUUAAUUCGAUGCAACGCGAAGAACCUUACCUGGGCUUGACAUGUUCCCGACAGCCGUAGAGAUACGGUCUCCCUUCGGGGCGGGUUCACAGGUGGUGCAUGGUCGUCGUCAGCUCGUGUCGUGAGAUGUUGGGUUAAGUCCCGCAACGAGCGCAACCCUCGCCCUGUGUUGCCAGCACGUCAUGGUGGGAACUCACGGGGGACCGCCGGGGUCAACUCGGAGGAAGGUGGGGAUGACGUCAGAUCAUCAUGCCCCUUACGUCCAGGGCUUCACGCAUGCUACAAUGGCCGGUACAACGGGAUGCGACAUGGCGACAUGGAGCGGAUCCCUGAAAACCGGUCUCAGUUCGGAUUGGAGUCUGCAACCCGACUCCAUGAAGGCGGAGUCGCUAGUAAUCGCGGAUCAGCAACGCCGCGGUGAAUGCGUUCCCGGGCCUUGUACCCACCGCCCGUCAAGUCAUGAAAGUGGGUAGCACCCGAAGCCGGUGGCCUAACCCCUUGUGGGAUAGAGCCGCCCACGAUGAGGGUCGUGAUUGGGACUAAGUCGUAACAAGGUAGCCGAAUCACUAGUGAAUUCGCGGCCGCCUGCAG
This 1433-nucleotide ribosomal RNA is filed under the name Bifidobacterium sp. MC_6. RNAcentral describes it as "bacterial SSU rRNA". It matches the Rfam family "Bacterial small subunit ribosomal RNA". The record is from RNAcentral. Lineage: Bacteria; Bacillati; Actinomycetota; Actinomycetes; Bifidobacteriales; Bifidobacteriaceae.